AUGCGGACAUCCCACUAGCAAGCCAGCAUCACAUGAGCCAGAGCUGGAUCCAGAGGCCGGGAUAAGAACAUCUCCUGUGGCACAGAAGCAAGAACCAGGCGCGCAGCCAGGAGAGUGUCAGUACCUUACUCCAUGAAUACACGGAAGUGCAGCACGUCUCCAGACCAGACAUACAGGCUCAGCUGGAAAGUUGAGCUACCCUGGAUUAAUUGGCUCUGGGCGUG
This 224-nucleotide long non-coding RNA is filed under the name Crocodylus porosus (Australian saltwater crocodile). RNAcentral describes it as "lncRNA (ENSCPRG00005005652.1)". The record is from RNAcentral. Lineage: Eukaryota; Metazoa; Chordata; Crocodylia; Crocodylidae.